UACCCGCAGCACAAGUGGUGGUCAUUAUUAUUGGGCCUAAAGCGUCCGUAGCUGGCCUGUUAGAUGCCUGGGUAAAUCGAUGCGCUCAACGUAUCGAACUCCGGGUAGACCGGCAGGCUCGAGACCGGGAGAGGUGUAGGCUACUCGCGGGGUAGGGGUAAAAUCCUGUAAUCCUGCGGGGAGGACCAGUGGCGAAGGCGCUACACUGGAACGGCUCUGACAGUGAGGGACGAAGCCCUGGGGCGCAAACCGG
Molecule: ribosomal RNA, 253 nt
Filed under: uncultured bacterium
Lineage: Bacteria
Description: partial 16S ribosomal RNA
Rfam family: Archaeal small subunit ribosomal RNA
Source: RNAcentral